GUGAGGAAUAUUGGUCAAUGGGCGCAAGCCUGAACCAGCCAUGCCGCGUGCAGGAAGACGGUCCUAUGGAUUGUAAACUGCUUUUAUUUGGGAAUAAACUCCGGUACGUGUACCGGCCUGAAGGUACCAAAUGAAUAAGCACCGGCUAACUCCGUGCCAGCAGCCGCGGUAAUACGGAGGGUGCAAGCGUUAUCCGGAAUCAUUGGGUUUAAAGGGUCCGCAGGCGGUCUUAUAAGUCAGUGGUGAAAGCCUACAGCUCAACUGUAGAACUGCCAUUGAUACUGUAGGACUUGAAUUCGAUCGAAGUGGGCGGAAUGUGACAUGUAGCGGUGAAAUGCUUAGAUAUGUCACAGAACACCGAUAGCGAAGGCAGCUCACUAGGUCUGGAUUGACGCUCAGGGACGAAAGCGUGGGGAGCAAACAGGAUUAGAUACCCCAGUAGUCC
Molecule: ribosomal RNA, 445 nt
Filed under: uncultured bacterium
Lineage: Bacteria
Description: bacterial SSU rRNA
Rfam family: Bacterial small subunit ribosomal RNA
Source: RNAcentral